Molecule: ribosomal RNA, 253 nt
Filed under: uncultured bacterium
Lineage: Bacteria
Description: partial 16S ribosomal RNA
Rfam family: Bacterial small subunit ribosomal RNA
Source: RNAcentral
UACGGAGGGUGCAAGCAUUGAUCGGAAUUACUGGGCGUAAAGGGCGCGUAGGCGGCUAUGAAAGUCAGAUGUGAAAUUCCGGGGCUCAACCCCGGAGCUGCAUUUGAAACUUCAAAGCUAGAGUUUGGUUAGGGUAAACGGAAUUCCACGUGUAGCGGUGAAAUGCGUAGAUAUGUGGAAGAACACCGGUGGUGAAGACGGUUUACUGGGCCAGUACUGACGCUGAGGCGCGAAAGCAUGGGGAGCAAACAGG